RNAcentral lists this transfer RNA (71 nucleotides) under Dysgonamonadaceae bacterium. RNAcentral's name for it is "tRNA-Gln". It matches the Rfam family "tRNA". Rfam says of the family: Transfer RNA (tRNA) molecules are approximately 80 nucleotides in length. Their secondary structure includes four short double-helical elements and three loops (D, anti-codon, and T loops). The record is from RNAcentral. Lineage: Bacteria; Pseudomonadati; Bacteroidota; Bacteroidia; Bacteroidales; Dysgonomonadaceae.
UGCCCUGUGGUGUAAUGGUAGCACAUCGGAUUCUGGUUCCGCUGGUCUGGGUUCGAGUCCUGGCAGGGCAA